Molecule: ribosomal RNA, 253 nt
Filed under: uncultured bacterium
Lineage: Bacteria
Description: partial 16S ribosomal RNA
Rfam family: Bacterial small subunit ribosomal RNA
Source: RNAcentral
UACGAAGGGGACUAGCGUUGUUCGGAAUCACUGGGCGUAAAGCGCACGUAGGCGGAUUCGUAAGUCAGGGGUGAAAUCCCGGGGCUCAACCUCGGAACUGCCUUUGAUACUGCGGGUCUUGAGUCCGAUAGAGGUGGGUGGAAUUCCUAGUUUAGAGGUGAAAUUCGUAGAUAUUAGGAAGAACACCAGUGGCGAAGGCGGCUCACUGGUCCUGUACUGACGCUGAGGCGCGAAAGCGUGGGGAGCGAACAGG